ACUCCAGCCCUAGUACGAGAGGACUAGGUUGGGCCAACCUAUGGCGUACCAGUUGUUAUGCCAAUAGCAAAGCCGGGCAGCUAAGUUGGUAUGGAAAAACUGUUGCGCUGCGGGAAAUCCUU
Molecule: non-coding RNA, 122 nt
Filed under: Eucalyptus grandis
Lineage: Eukaryota; Viridiplantae; Streptophyta; Magnoliopsida; Myrtales; Myrtaceae
Description: Bacterial large subunit ribosomal RNA
Rfam family: Bacterial large subunit ribosomal RNA
Source: Rfam by way of RNAcentral